UUGUCAAAAUGAUAGAAUUAAAUAUAAAUAAAUAUAAACGAGAGGAUCGGUAUCCAUAAGAACCAAAAAUUAUUCGAAAUAUAGGUCAAUAGGUCGAUCCACUUGAUACAAAAGUUGGUCUUAUCAGGUUCCCUCUUAGAAAGAAUAAAAAAAGGAGCUAUUAAAGGCAACUUUAAAAAUUGAGUCACGUAACUGAAUAAAUUUGUUGAAAUUAAAUUCUACGAGUCGGCUGGAUUUCCGUCAAGAAGAACAGACAAACGAGCCCAGAGAGUCCAAUUAAAGAUGGAAUAGCAGCGGAUACGUGUUCGAGGACCAACAAGAAUCUCGUCGAUAAAGUGUAUAAUUAUUUUAAGCUGCGAUUUUUUCAGCACUAGCUGUUUUCCGAAAGCUCUAUACAAGUCGACAGAUUUUUGUCGCCACCUGUCCAAAAUUCACGAACGCUCUAUAAAAUUAUCGCAUGUGUGGCGAACUUGUAGCUACAGCCGAUAAAACAGAGAAAAGGGGUGAGCUUUUGAUAAUGGCACGUGGCACAGAGCUUGCACGACCUUACCAACAAGCAGCACUCGUCGGUUCUCGUACUUCACAAAACCACGUCUCAGAAACAUACCGUUUGCGCUUUUAUAUUAGACCAGUGACAAUAUCACGUACCUAUUCUACUUGUGAGGUUAUUUUUACGUAUUGACGGGCGCAAAGGAAGCAGAAGAUCGAUUUGCUCAUCCUUUAGCCUUGAAUACUUUUGUGGUGUGUGUAUUGAGUGAACUGAAUACUUCGAAUGAUACAGCGUUCGUUUAACCACGUAUCUUUUUGAUUUUUGUAUAUAUUUAAUUUACAUAUGCUACUUAAAUAUUUUUAUUAAUUUACUAAUCGUAACAAUGGUAAAUAUUAUAGCAAAUAUAAUAACAAAGAUCUAUGCUCCUCUUACUCAAGAUAGAAAAAAUCAAGAAUGGCAAUUGUCGUAGGAGUAUUACGUGUAACUCUUCAACAAUGAAGUAUUUUCCUUGUUAAAAUUCUUAAUAAACAACACGAAAAAAUUGUUUCAAAAAUUUAAUAAACGUCUCAGUAAUAUGCACCUUUUUUUAAUUCCGUGACGUUUAGCGAGACUUAACCUUCGCAUUCCUCUCGCGAAAUGAAAUUUUCUUAAUUGCCUCACUUAUCCGACUUUUGUUAUUUUCUCUUGGUAUGUGCGUGCAUGCGUGUGUGUGAAAGUUGGAGGCAGAGAGUGAGAGGAAGAGGGAGAGAAAGAGAGAGAUAUUUUACUUCACUGAUACCCACCAAUCACAAUGAAACAGUUUCAAACUGUUCACGAAAGUUAGACAGAAAUUUGUAAAGUCCGGCCACGCGUGGGUUCUACUACUUAUCAGUAGCCAUCCCUAUAAUUUUGUCACAACUUAAAAAAUUUCGCACAAGUUCAUUACCGUGAUAUUAUACAAAUCCAUGGUAUGGUCUUAGUAGUAGAUAUAGCUAAAAAUAAUGAAAUGUUUAUUUGAUGUUUCAAUUAAACAGCAAAAUAUAAAUAAUGUAAUAUUCGCCAUUUCUCUUCAUACCCCUCUUUUUAUAAAUAUAAACAACGAAAUAACCUAAUAAAGAACAUGUCAAACGUUUAUUUUUCUAACUGCAACAGAUUUGGUCGUUAUAUAAAACUGAUAGAUGAUUAAUCAUGCGUCAUCUUUUAAUUUACAAUAUCAUUUCUAUGUAUGUAUAUAUCAAUUCUAACUGGAUUUAAUCAUACCCGGAAAUAUCACCGCAAUUACGUCAACUUACCACUACUGGAAGAUGGAACUAGUCAGUCAGUCAUAAAAUUUCUCAUUUAAAAACCAUUUGUAAUAUCUAAAUCAAAUAUCAUUUCAUCAUUUUAUUUCAUUAUUUCGCUUUUAAAAGAAAGCUCCUCUUAAAUGCUUCCAAUAAAGAAGAAAUAAUAAUAAAUACUUUUUGAAUGUAAAAUAAUCGCAGCCGACGCAUUCGUUUUGAAGACCUAUCGUGCGGUUGCUUCGAGCUUAGCCUAGGAAUAAAUGUAGUUAGGAAGCGUCGAUGCAUGCUUCAAAAGGAAGAAAUUGUCGCAGAAGAAUUAAGUCGAUCGAAUAAGAAUUCGAUCCAUCUCCAGUCCAUCUCCUCGAAACCAAUCCAGUUCUAGACAGAUUAAUUACACCGGAUAAUAAACGAGGGUUGCGCAAGAAUAUCAGCAAAAAGAAUAUUUCCCAUUACUGGGGAAAGUCAGCGAAACUUGCGUUUAAAGAAAAUGUUAAGUUGCGUCACGGGAGGAAGAAGCUCGGUACGUUAUGUAUGUUAAAAAAAACCGAACUCAUUGAAACUGAAAAAGAUUGUUACUAUUUAGACGAAUGAAGUAUUGUCGUUAAAGAGAAGUAGCGCGCACUUAUUAACAAAAGAAAAAUGGUCUUUCAUCUCUAAGUACUAUAAAGCUCGUCUACAUCUGAUUCAAGGAAAGAAAUUCCAUGAAGAAAGAAUUGCAUGACUCGAGCUGACAACUAAUUAGUCAUCCAUCACAUUCUCGCGACUUCAUUAUACACUAUCAUUCUUUCUUAUCGCGAGAACAAAUUUUCUUGGAGUAAUGAAAAAACUUGAUGGUUAUGAAGAAGUCGAAGACUUAUAGUCUCGAAAUAUUUUAAACUAAUCAAUGUGAAUUUUUAUAGCAAGAAAAUAGCAUAAACCGACCAUUAUGUUCUACUAACUAUACUUUAAAACUAGCGAUCUUGUCUCACUAAUUAUUCACGACUAUAUAUAUACAUAUACAUAUAUAUAUUUAUGUCUGUUUCAACAACACAAAAGAUAGAUGAGAAAAGGGACUUCUAAGAUAAUUUUACAAUAUAAUACAAGUUGAGAAGGUACAAGAUCAUGAAACGUAAAUGAAGAAAGAAAUAUACAUGUCGGAGAUGAAAGGAAAGCCGAAGCCUUUCCUUGGAAAUUUUGGGAACAUCCUCUAGUACCUUAGCCUAGAUUUUAUUAUAGUUGUAAUUGCUUAAGAUUUGUAAUAAGCGAGAUUGGGUUCGAGGUGACAAUCGGUCGCUGAACGUAGCCACGGUCACGGGAUGGAUGUUUUAUCUAACGGAGGUCUGGAGUGGUUGUAUGUGUUUUCCGAGAAAUGUGGUUGUGGCGGCAUGCGGCCUCGAGAGCGGGCCUAGCCACGUGUGAUGUUGCCUCGGAGGUGCCGAUGCAAUGGGACAUACAUUGUAUUAGUAAUCAAAACUCCAGGCAGAAACUGCCUAGCAACGGCGUUUGGAACUUUCUCGAUGCUUCCAACGAGUGUGCCUAGCAACGGCGUUUGGAACCUUCUCGAUGCUUCCAAACGGGUAUAGAAAACAAAAUGCAAUCGUACAGGAAGAAAAAUCUCCACGAGGCUGGCAUUCUUGCGAUUGCCUUGGAGAGUGAUACAUCGAGCAUUUUCGACGAUCGCAUUUGCGUCUAAGUUAGUUUCGCUUAGUAAGGAGUUAUCCCGGUGACCGUGGAUUCGUUUGAACUCAAACAUUGCUAAUAGUAUUAUUUAAUUUAAUUAUUCGUAGAUCGUAUUAUUCAUUAGGCUUAGUGUUUGUUAGACUUAUUAUUAGUUGUACUUAUUAUUUGUUAAGCUUAGUGAUAGACCUGUAUAUACGUGUAAAUAAAAUCUUGGCUUUGUGAAACGAUGGCUAGUCCACAUGAAGAGUCGUCGCGCGCCCAAAAUUCGAAUCGUGAUCCGACAUAC
This is a long non-coding RNA of Bombus huntii, 3694 nucleotides long. RefSeq lists it as uncharacterized. NCBI's taxonomy places the organism in Eukaryota, Metazoa, Arthropoda, Insecta, Hymenoptera, Apidae. The transcript is spliced from 3 exons. The record is from RefSeq and is a predicted model, not a curated record.